RNAcentral lists this transfer RNA (80 nucleotides) under Labilithrix sp. RNAcentral describes it as "tRNA-Glu". The record is from RNAcentral. Lineage: Bacteria; Pseudomonadati; Myxococcota; Polyangiales; Labilitrichaceae.
GUCCCUGCGCCGGCCAGAGCUCGAGGACCUCGCCGCGGCUUUUCACGCCGCUAACAGGGGUUCGAAUCCCCUUGGGGACG